Molecule: ribosomal RNA, 253 nt
Filed under: uncultured bacterium
Lineage: Bacteria
Description: partial 16S ribosomal RNA
Rfam family: Bacterial small subunit ribosomal RNA
Source: RNAcentral
UACGGAAGGGGCAAGCGUUGUUCGGAAUCAUUGGGCGUAAAGGGUGCGUAGGCUGAUCCGAAAGUGCUCCGUGAAAUCCCCCGGCUCAACCGGGGAACAGCGAGGCAUACUGCGGAUCUUGAGGCAGGUAGGCGCCGAGGGAACAGUAGGUGGAGCGGUGAAAUGCGUAGAUAUCUACUGGAACGCCGAUGGUGAAGACGCUCGGCUGGGCCUGUCCUGACGCUGAGGCACGAAAGCGUGGGGAGCAAACAGG